Molecule: ribosomal RNA, 422 nt
Filed under: uncultured bacterium
Lineage: Bacteria
Description: partial 16S ribosomal RNA
Rfam family: Bacterial small subunit ribosomal RNA
Source: RNAcentral
AAAUGUGGACAAUGGGGGAAACCCUGAUCCAGCCAUCUUGCGUGUAUGAUGAACGCCUUCGGGUUGUAAAGAACUCUUGGCAGAGAAGAAAAGGUACCUCCUAAUACGAGGUACUGCUGACGGUAUCUGCAGAAUAAGCACCGGCUACCUACGUGCCUGCACCCGCGGUAAUACGUAGGGUGCAAGCGUUAAUCGGAAUUACUGGGCGUAAAGCGUGUGUAGGCGGUUCGGAAAGAAAGAUGUGAAAUCCCAGGGCUCAAACUUAGAACUGCAUUUUUAACUGCCGAGCUAGAGUAUGUCAGAGGGGGGUAGAAUUCCACGUGUAGCAGUGAAAUGCGUAGAUAUGUGGAGGAAUACCGAUGGCGAAGGCAGCCCCCUGGGAUAAUACUGACGCUCAGACACGAAAGCGUGGGGAGCAAACA